GAUGAACGCUGGCGGCGUGCCUAAUACAUGCAAGUCGAGCGAACAGACGAGGAGCUUGCUCCUCUGACGUUAGCGGCGGACGGGUGAGUAACACGUGGAUAACCUACCUAUAAGACUGGGAUAACUUCGGGAAACCGGAGCUAAUACCGGAUAAUAUAUUGAACCGCAUGGUUCAAUAGUGAAAGACGGUUUUGCUGUCACUUAUAGAUGGAUCCGCGCCGCAUUAGCUAGUUGGUAAGGUAACGGCUUACCAUGGCAACGAUGCGUAGCCGACCUGGGAGGGUGAUCGGCCACACUGGAACUGAGACACGGUCCAGACUCCUACGGGAGGCAGCAGUAGGGAAUCUUCCGCAAUGGGCGAAAGCCUGACGGAGCAACGCCGCGUGAGUGAUGAAGGUCUUCGGAUCGUAAAACUCUGUUAUUAGGGAAGAACAAAUGUGUAAGUAACUAUGCACGUCUUGACGGUACCUAAUCAGAAAGCCACGGCUAACUACGUG
RNAcentral lists this ribosomal RNA (497 nucleotides) under uncultured bacterium. RNAcentral's name for it is "partial 16S ribosomal RNA". It matches the Rfam family "Bacterial small subunit ribosomal RNA", at positions 28 to 507 of the family's 1533-position model. The record is from RNAcentral.